GAAAAUCUAUUUUUGACCCGUUAUAAUAUUUUUCAUGUAUUGAACAGUUUAUAUUCGUUUGAAAAAAAUUCAAAUUAUAGCAUAUGCGAAAAAACUCUAAUUAUUUUUUAUAACGAUGAUAUUAUUUUUCGCAAAAACAGAAUCAUUUAAAGAUGAGAGGUGAACUAUAAUAAUUAAUAAAAAAUUAAUAUGAUAAUUUAGAUAUCAAAUCUAAUUUGUUGAUUGUAAUUGGUUACUUUUAAAAAUUACCAAUGUAUUUCGUUUUUU
This 267-nucleotide small RNA is filed under the name Arabidopsis thaliana (thale cress). Its description in RNAcentral is "ATSL183150". The record is from RNAcentral. Lineage: Eukaryota; Viridiplantae; Streptophyta; Magnoliopsida; Brassicales; Brassicaceae.